Molecule: transfer RNA, 68 nt
Filed under: marine eukaryotic metagenome
Rfam family: tRNA
About the family: Transfer RNA (tRNA) molecules are approximately 80 nucleotides in length. Their secondary structure includes four short double-helical elements and three loops (D, anti-codon, and T loops). Further hydrogen bonds mediate the characteristic L-shaped molecular structure. tRNAs have two regions of fundamental functional importance: the anti-codon, which is responsible for specific mRNA codon recognition, and the 3' end, to which the tRNAs corresponding amino acid is attached (by aminoacyl-tRNA synthetases). tRNAs cope with the degeneracy of the genetic code in two manners: having more than one tRNA (with a specific anti-codon) for a particular amino acid; and 'wobble' base-pairing, i.e. permitting non-standard base-pairing at the 3rd anti-codon position.
Source: RNAcentral
GCGGAUAGUUCAGCGGUAGAACGCUUGCUUUACACGCAAGAAGUCAGAGGUUCAAAUCCUCUUUCGCC